RNAcentral lists this ribosomal RNA (406 nucleotides) under uncultured Chloroflexus sp. RNAcentral's name for it is "bacterial SSU rRNA". It matches the Rfam family "Bacterial small subunit ribosomal RNA", at positions 102 to 523 of the family's 1533-position model. The record is from RNAcentral. Lineage: Bacteria; Bacillati; Chloroflexota; Chloroflexia; Chloroflexales; Chloroflexaceae.
ACGGGUGAGUAACGCGUUGGUGACCUGCCCCGAAGUGAGGGAUAACAGUCCGAAAGGACUGCUAAUACCCCAUGUGGCUGUGAGAGUUAGAGUUCUCACUACCAAAGGAGUAAUCCGCUUCGGGAGGGGCCUGCGUCCCAUCAGCUAGUUGGUAGGGUAACGGCCUACCAAGGCUAAGACGGGUAGGGGACCUGAGAGGGUGACCCCCCACACUGGAACUGAAACACGGUCCAGACACCUACGGGUGGCAGCAGUAGGGAAUAUUGCACAAUGGGCGAAAGCCUGAUGCAGCAACGCUUUUUUUUUGAUGAAGGCCUUCGGGUUGUAAAGUACUUUUAUGAGGGAAGAGCAAGGACUGUACCUCAUGAAUAAGGAUCGGCUAACUACGUGCCAGCAGCCGCGGUCA